AGCUCCAAUAGCGUAUAUUAAAGUUGUUGCAGUUAAAAAGCUCGUAGUUGGAUUUCUGGUAGAAGGAACGAGCGCACCUGCGUGAUGCUCGCGUCUUUUGCCAUCCUUCUGUUAACUGUUCUUGACAUUGAUUUGUCGGUUCAGGGCUCAGAUAUUUUACCUUGAGAAAAUUAGAGUGUUUCAGGCAGGCUUUUGCCCGGAUACAUUAGCAUGGAAUAAUAGAACAGGACUUCGCCUCUUCUGUUGGUUUGAGGGGUUGAAGUAAUG
This 267-nucleotide ribosomal RNA is filed under the name uncultured eukaryote. RNAcentral describes it as "partial small subunit ribosomal RNA". It matches the Rfam family "Eukaryotic small subunit ribosomal RNA", at positions 587 to 867 of the family's 1831-position model. The record is from RNAcentral.